Molecule: small nucleolar RNA, 129 nt
Filed under: Myotis davidii
Lineage: Eukaryota; Metazoa; Chordata; Mammalia; Chiroptera; Vespertilionidae
Description: Small nucleolar RNA SNORA43
Rfam family: Small nucleolar RNA SNORA43
About the family: ACA43 is a member of the H/ACA class of snoRNA that guide the sites of modification of uridines to pseudouridines.
Source: Rfam by way of RNAcentral
CAGGUGCUGGACCUGCAGCACCACAGACGCGGCUGCCGGGCUGUGACGUCGGGGCCCAGAGGAAGUGGGUAGUUCUACCCUCAGUGCUCAGAACAGUGGGCACUAAGGAUGGUUGGUAGCCUGACAUUC